This 253-nucleotide ribosomal RNA is filed under the name uncultured bacterium. RNAcentral describes it as "partial 16S ribosomal RNA". It matches the Rfam family "Bacterial small subunit ribosomal RNA", at positions 524 to 776 of the family's 1533-position model. RNAcentral also lists the same sequence under 1 other name. The record is from RNAcentral.
UACGAAGGACCCGAGCGUUAUCCGGAUUUAUUGGGUUUAAAGGGUGCGUAGGCGGACUAGUAAGUCAGUGGUGAAAGCCCAUCGCUUAACGGUGGAACUGCCAUUGAUACUGCUAGUCUUGAGUAUGGUUGAGGUGGGCGGAAUGUGUCAUGUAGCGGUGAAAUGCUUAGAUAUGACCCAGAACACCAAUUGCGAAGGCAGCUCGCUAAGCCAUAACUGACGCUGAGGCACGAAAGCGUGGGGAGCAAACAGG